AUCUUCUAGGCUGCGGUCAAAGAACUUCAGCAUGGAUUUACGAUGUUUUCUUGCAAUCUGUAAAUUGGAUUGGAUUGAACUUCUUACAUUUUGAAGACUUGUAAAGACACUACUAGUAGAAGUCUCACAACAAUCGGAUGGUCAGAUUGAGAAUUAGAGCUUGGUGAAGCUUGUUGUCUAGGGUUAGGAUUUAAAAAAUAAU
RNAcentral lists this long non-coding RNA (202 nucleotides) under Physcomitrium patens. Its description in RNAcentral is "long non-coding RNA (PPAT_LNC011936)". Lineage: Eukaryota; Viridiplantae; Streptophyta; Bryopsida; Funariales; Funariaceae. The record is from RNAcentral.